GCCCCGGAGCCUGCCUGGCGCCGAGAUGCUGUUCCAGAGGUGAGGGUGGCUGCCCCGGCUCGGCCCCAGGAGCUCAGGGAUGGCUCCAGCCAGAGGGCGAACUUCUCCUGGCACAGGUGCAUGGUAGAGGCAGAAGCUGGGCUGGCUGAGCUUGGGAGCUGUGUCUGUAGCUGCUCUGCUGCUUCCAGAAUACCAACUGAUGCUGUGCAGCAGCACUUUGCUUAUUGUGAAGGUGAUGAACACACAACCCUGGGGUGAAGUAAACAAACCUGAGACAAGCACUAGAGCAGGUAAGUGGUUUCUGGAAGAUUGUGUGUCCAUUGAUACGUGGUGCAGCACUGGGCCUGAACUCCUCUCACCAUCGGUUUCCUUCAGCAUCUAGUGAGGUGCCAGAGAGCUGUGACACUGGCAGGAGUGUCUCUGGCAGACCAGCAGAGCUGGGGCCCUGCAUUGCACUGAAAAGGGUGAGCUGUGCCAAGAACCCUGACUAAACUUCCUUCAGCUGUGUCUUCUGCAUGGAUACCACACCUGUACUGCAGAAAAAACGUGGACAUUUAGAGACUCCAGAUGUGUGCCUCUCACCAAACUUUUAAGAAUGGUUAGACUCAUGGACAUCAGUGCUGUGACAGAUCAGAAAGUAAGACAGAUGAGAGGCUUUUCAACAGCA
Catharus ustulatus (Swainson's thrush) is the source of this 667-nucleotide long non-coding RNA. RefSeq lists it as uncharacterized. The record is from RefSeq and is a predicted model, not a curated record. The transcript has 3 exons. NCBI's taxonomy places the organism in Eukaryota, Metazoa, Chordata, Aves, Passeriformes, Turdidae.